RNAcentral lists this long non-coding RNA (1354 nucleotides) under Astyanax mexicanus (Mexican tetra). RNAcentral describes it as "lncRNA (ENSAMXG00005001444.1)". The record is from RNAcentral. Lineage: Eukaryota; Metazoa; Chordata; Actinopteri; Characiformes; Acestrorhamphidae.
AACGAGACACCACCUUCAUGUCGCUGUUCGCUAGUCAACUCAGAGAGAGAAGAAAAGUGUGUAAUUGCAACAGCCCCCAACUUUGAGUGGAUCAGAAAUCCACACAGUGAACCACCAUCAGAACAGUACUAUGUUUAUACAAAGAAAUGUGGACCAAUCUUAAUAGAAUAUGCAAAGAAUGGCUGGCGGAUCUUACUUGGAAUACUCUUUACAUUGGCAACUAUUGAGGUUGCAGCUGUUGUAGCUGUCUUGUUGCUUUGGUAUAAACUUCACACGCGGUCACCAGGUACAAGUCUGUCUGAGGAUAACAACAGCAGGAUGAAGUAUGAGCUCCAGCCGGAAAAAAGGCUCUGACAGGAUCUAAUCCUAAGCACAUAACCUCGUCCCUGCAUGAGUGAGCUCUAUAACCUCAACAUAACAAACUUAUGUGACAUUUUAAAUGCAAGUAGGCUAACACUUUGUGGGGCAGUUACCCACCUUGUGCUGGCAAACAUACAGUAUAAGGAAGUUCCACUAAUAGUGCAGAAAAAAAAUCAAAUUUUUAUUCACAGAUAAAUGAACAAUCAUUCAGCAAUCACAUGGCAGCUAGUUUUAUUUCUACAGUUUGUGGUGCAUAUCUGCUGAACCAAAAGGUAGCCCGAAAAAAAAAAAAAACGUAGGCUACAAAACACCUGACUUAAACUGACUUAUUGAAACUAAAGAGGUUUUUUAAAUCCGUGUAAAUACUGAACAAACCAAAUUUGUUAGUGUUCUACUAAUCUAAUCUUAGCACUGAAGAAAAACUGUAAAGCAUGAUUAACACUAUGAACUGCUACGUUUAAAGUCAUUAAGGUCUUUCAUCUCUGCACUCAAAAUCUCCAGCCCAUGUUCUACUUUCACGCAGUCUAUUUACAUCAAACGUGUUCAAAGAAUUCUAAAAUUGAUAAAGGAUACUAGUUGUACUCUAAAUGAGAAGAAAGAAAGAAAAUAACAUUCAGUGCAAACAUACAAAGAUCUGGAAAGAUUUUAAAUAUGUUUUAAUUCAAAUGACAAAACGUUUCAUGUGAUUCUGUGUAGUUAUCAUGUGCCAAAAUUGGAGUUAUUUUAUAUUUCAUGAAGAUAAUUUCAGUUUAAAUUAGACUAAGAUAAAAAUGUCCAGGAAUAAUAAUAAUGAUCUGUGACUAUGCGUGUAAUGGUAUACAUGUCAUACAUGUUUAUUGUUCCUUCUCAUAGCACUAAUAAUAAGCAGCAGCAGCAGCGUGAAGUACCACUACUAAACUAAACACUACCAUGAACUGAAGGCUCACCAAUCAGCUCUUUCACCUGUGUAUUGGAAUAGACCUGACACCGUUUCAGCCCAGAUUUAAAGAACAAG